GGUUAAGUUAAUAAGGGCGUAUGGUGGAUGCCUUGGCACUAGGAGCCGAUGAAGGACGGGACUAACACCGAUAUGCUUCGGGGAGCUGUAAGUAAGCUUUGAUCCGGAGAUUUCCGAAUGGGGGAACCCAACAGCGAGAGCUGUUAUCUGCUGGUGAAUACAUAGCCAGUAUGAAGGUAGACGUUGUGAACUGAAACAUCUCAUUAGCAACAGGAAUAGAAAGAAAAAUCGAUUCCGUUAGUAGCGGCGAGCGAAAACGGAAGAGCCCAAACCAAGAAGCUUGCUUCUUGGGGUUGUAGGACAGAACUUUGGAGUUACCAAGUUAUAAUAUAGGAGAAUCAGCUGGGAAGUUGAGCUAGAGAGGGUGAUAGCCCCGUAUCCGAAAUAUUGUAACCUCCGUUCUGGAUCCUGAGUACGGCGGAGCACGUGAAAUUCCGUCGGAAUCCGCGAGGACCAUCUCGCAAGGCUAAAUACUCCCUAGUGACCGAUAGUGAACCAGUACCGUGAGGGAAAGGUGAAAAGCACCCCGGAAGGGGAGUGAAAUAGUACCUGAAACCAUAUGCUUACAAUAAGUUAGAGCCCGUUAAUGGGUGAUAGCGUGCCUUUUGUAGAAUGAACCGGCGAGUUACGAUACCAUGCAAGGUUAAGGU
This 650-nucleotide ribosomal RNA is filed under the name Periweissella beninensis. RNAcentral's name for it is "partial 23S ribosomal RNA". It matches the Rfam family "Bacterial large subunit ribosomal RNA", at positions 1 to 652 of the family's 2925-position model. Lineage: Bacteria; Bacillati; Bacillota; Bacilli; Lactobacillales; Lactobacillaceae. The record is from RNAcentral.